AGCAUCCAUUAAGUUCUUGUGGUGAAGAUAGUGUUGCAACAGUGCGCCACAUUGGUGUUCAGCAUGAUGGUAUAAAUAAUUUAGUCACUGGUGAAACUAACAAGGUGGAUAAUAAGUCUCUUGAUCACAAGAAUAAAGUUUCGAGGUUUCCAAUGGGGCUUGUUAGUGAGCUAGAUGAUGGAGUUACUAGUGGACCAGGUGGUUUGCAGGUAUCUGAUCUCAACUUGUUGUCUUCUUUGUUCAAAUUUCAUGCUUAUAGUUACGCACACAAGCACACACAUAUAUGUAAUAUGUAUGUAUGUCUAUGUGUAUAUAUAUUAAUUAAAGUAAGGCAUUUCUGCAUUUUCCAUACAUGUUUAAAGUGUAAAAUUCAUAUUGCAAUAUUCUAAUAUUUCC
This 396-nucleotide long non-coding RNA is filed under the name Panax ginseng (ginseng). Its description in RNAcentral is "long non-coding RNA (PGIN_LNC013624)". The record is from RNAcentral. Lineage: Eukaryota; Viridiplantae; Streptophyta; Magnoliopsida; Apiales; Araliaceae.